GUGAAGAGUGACCCUUCUCCCAGCUGUCUGUCUGUGAAGAGUGACCCUUCUCCCAGCUGUCUGUCUGUGAAGAGGGACCCUUCUCCCAGCUGUCUGUCUGUGAAGAGGGACCCUUCUCCCAGCUGUCUGUCUGUGAAUAGUGACAGCUCCAAAUCCCUUGGCCCCAACUUCAGAGAUGACCCUGAACCAAGCAGGACACCAAGCGUGGACUUGAAGAGCAACACAAUGAUUUAAUGAAGAAACUAAGGCAGGCAAAGAAAACGACAGGAAACUGGCAGGCAGGCAAAAACCCCAGACGGGUGGCAGUGCCGUUUUGCAGAUCAAGGAGCUGCUGGAUCCUGCCUCCAAAUGUCAGACCUGGUUAGAUGGCUGCAAUCAGUAUUGCUGAUGAUCUGAGUACGAUUUGAUCUAUGUAACAGAUUUGAUCUAUGUAACAGAUUUGAUCUAUGUAACAGAUUUGAUCUAUGUAACAGAUUUGAUCUAUGUAACAGAUGACUUCAUUCCUGUAAAUUCUUCCGUAUAACUAAUGGGAACAGUGAAUAUUGUUAUAAUCAAAUGAGUGUUUCAGUAGGACCAGUACACACCAGUCUCCUGCUGCUCCUGCUGAUGGUUUAGUUCCCCCACUGGCAGUAUGCAUGUAUGCAUGUCCCAAACAGGGAUCAAACCAGUGGUCAAACCAGUGGUGACUGGCCUCAAGACAACUUUCUAUUCUUUUGAGCUGUACAAAGUUACCAAUUGUAUAGACCUAUUGGAAACAUUUCCAGCUAGCUGUGGAGCAAGUUUAUAGUACGUUCUUAACUCCGUUACAGUGACUCCUUGAAUAGCAACUCCUUCAGAAGAUAGAGUGCACAGAUUUAGAUUGACAAGCCUUUCUUUUGUUUUGCAUGACAUUGCCCUCUACAGGACACAAUUGGUGCAACACUGAAUGGAGAUAAAUACAUUACUUUGUUUUAAUAGAAAUAUUCAUACAUCAUACAUACAUCUUCUUCCGCUUCAUCCGGGGCCGGGUCGCGGGGGCAGCAGUCUAAGCAGGGAUGCCCAGACUUCCCUCUCCCCAGACACUUCCUCCAGCUCUUCCGGGGGGACACCGAGGCGUUCCCAGGCCAGCCGGGAGACAUAGUCCCUCCAGCGUGUCCUAGGUCUUCCCCGGGGUCUCCUCCCGGUGGGACGGGCCCGGAACAUCUUCCCAGGAAGGCGUUCCGGAGGCAUCUGAAACAGAUGCCCAAGCCACCUCAGCUGACCCCUCUUGAUGUGGAGGAGCAGCGGCUCUACUCUGAGUUCCUCCCGGGUGACCGAGCUUCUCACCCUAUCUCUAAGGGAUCGCCCAGCCACCCUGCGGAGAAAGCUCAUUUCGGCCGCCUGUAUCCGGGAUCUUGUCCUUUUGGUCAUGACCCAAAGCUCAUGACCAUAGGUGAGAGUAGGAACGUAGAUUGACCGGUAAAUCGAGAGCUUCGCCUUGCGGCUCAGCUCUUUCUUCACCACGAGAGACCGAUACAUCGACCGCAUUACUGCAGAAGCUGCACCAAUCCGUCUGUCAAUCUCCUGUUCCAUCCUUCCCUCACUCGUGAACAAGACCCCUAGAUACUUAAACUCCUCCACUUGAGGCAGGCACUCUCCACCAACCUGAAGUGGGCAAGCCACCCUUUUUCCGACUGAGGACCAUGGCCUCGGAUUUGGAGGUACAUCCCCACCGCUUCACACUCGGCUGCAAACCGUCCCAGUGCAUGCUGAAGGUCCUGGUUUGAAGGGGCCAACACGACAACAUCAUCCGCAAAGAGCAGAGACGAAAUCGUGUGGUCCCCAAACCUGACACCCUCCGGCCCCUGGCUGCGCCUAGAAAUUCUGUCCAUAAAAACCCUGUGUCCCUCGCAGCAUCCUGUGGAGAGUGCUUCGGGAAUAUGGGGUCCUGGGUCCUUUGCUAAGGGCUGUCAGGUCCCUGUACGACCGAAGCAGGAGUUUGGUCCGCAUUGCCGGCAGUAAGUCAGACUUGUUCCCAGUGCAUGUUGGACUCCGGCAGGGCUGCCCUUUGUCGCCGGUUCUGUUCAUAAUUUAGAAAUAUUCAAAUUAUUGUAAUACAUUUAGCUUUUAUGGACAAAUUUGAAUAUAGUUUUAGGAAAAAAAAUUACAACCAUAGUAGGAUCUUUCUUUUAUUUAAUGUUAUUUACUUUUUUUACUGUUAUAUGUAAGUACUUAUUUUUUUUGUCAUAUUUUCUCAAUUUCAUAGAAACAUUCUGUUGUUACCAGUUUUCUUUUUUUAUUAUAAAGCUUCUUGGCAAUAAUGUGCA
This is a long non-coding RNA of Esox lucius (northern pike), 2285 nucleotides long. NCBI's taxonomy places the organism in Eukaryota, Metazoa, Chordata, Actinopteri, Esociformes, Esocidae. The record is from Ensembl.